UACGGGGGGGGCAAGCGUUGUUCGGAUUCACUGGGCGUAAAGGGUGCGUAGGUGGCAAGGUAAGUUUGAUGUGAAAUCUUCGAGCUCAACUCGGAAACUGCAUUGAAUACUAUCUUGCUUGAGGAUUGGAGGGGAGGCUGGAAUUCUCGGUGUAGCAGUGAAAUGCGUAGAGAUCGGAAGGAACGUCAAUGGCGAAGGCAGCCACCUGGCCUGAUACUGACGCUGAGGCGCGAAAGCGUGGGGAGCGAACAGG
RNAcentral lists this ribosomal RNA (253 nucleotides) under uncultured bacterium. RNAcentral describes it as "partial 16S ribosomal RNA". It matches the Rfam family "Bacterial small subunit ribosomal RNA", at positions 524 to 776 of the family's 1533-position model. The record is from RNAcentral.